Molecule: transfer RNA, 74 nt
Filed under: Wildemania schizophylla
Lineage: Eukaryota; Rhodophyta; Bangiophyceae; Bangiales; Bangiaceae
Description: tRNA-Arg
Rfam family: tRNA
About the family: Transfer RNA (tRNA) molecules are approximately 80 nucleotides in length. Their secondary structure includes four short double-helical elements and three loops (D, anti-codon, and T loops). Further hydrogen bonds mediate the characteristic L-shaped molecular structure. tRNAs have two regions of fundamental functional importance: the anti-codon, which is responsible for specific mRNA codon recognition, and the 3' end, to which the tRNAs corresponding amino acid is attached (by aminoacyl-tRNA synthetases). tRNAs cope with the degeneracy of the genetic code in two manners: having more than one tRNA (with a specific anti-codon) for a particular amino acid; and 'wobble' base-pairing, i.e. permitting non-standard base-pairing at the 3rd anti-codon position.
Source: RNAcentral
GCGCUCGUAGCUCAAUUGGAUAGAGCAAUAGAUUACGAAUCUAAAGGUUGUGGGUUCAAAUCCUUCCGUGCGUA